UACGUAGGGGCCUAGCGUUGUCCGGAAUUAUUGGGCGUAAAGAGCGUGUAGGCGGCCAUACAGGUCAGCUGUGAAAACUCGAGGCUCAACCUCGAGACGUCGGUUGAAACCGUAUGGCUAGAGUCCGGAAGAGGAGAGUGGAAUUCCCGGUGUAGCGGUGAAAUGCGCAGAUAUCGGGAAGAACACCUAUGGCGAAGGCAGCUCUCUGGGACGGUACUGACGCUGAGACGCGAAAGCGUGGGGAGCGAACAGG
RNAcentral lists this ribosomal RNA (253 nucleotides) under uncultured bacterium. Its description in RNAcentral is "partial 16S ribosomal RNA". It matches the Rfam family "Bacterial small subunit ribosomal RNA", at positions 524 to 776 of the family's 1533-position model. The record is from RNAcentral.